AAUCUCAUCUUCAGUUAUUUUAGAUAAAUUUGGCGCAAACUUUUUCAUUCCCUCUCACUCUCUGACUUCUACUUCUGAAAGGAGAAACUGGGACUCCGACCAUCACUCGCCACCGCAACGGAUCUCCCUCGCAGAACCACCGUUUAGCGCGGCAAUCAGACCUUCAAAAGUUAUCUCUCAAACCCCAUAACCAGUUCACACUCAAUCCGCCCUAAUUUUCGGUCAUCGUCUGUGGUUCAAUCGAGAGCCUAUUCCUACCUGCUCGAGGCAUACCAUUUGAGAGCCCAUUCAACAGCUGAUUUACAGCAUAUUUAGGCGCUUGAAGGGAAAACGACAAACUUGAAAGAUCCUUAAAAAGCAGCUUUCUAGGCUGCUGUCCAACGUCUCGCUGACUGAUGAAGGGGAUAAAUGGAGCUGGUCUUUGGACUCAAAUGGGUUAUUUUCGGUCAGUGGGUUGAGGAGGUGCUUGGUACAAAACAACCAAACGGCUGCAGCUACUGUCUAUUCGUGGAAUCGAUGGAUUCCGCUCAAGGUUAACUUUCUAGUGUGGAGGUUAAACUUGAAUAGACUAUCAACGCGGGUGUCUUUGUUAAGGAGAGGCAUACAAGUGCCAUCCGCUUUGCUUUGUGUGAGUUGUGUCGAGAUGAAGAGGAGUCUACCGAAGGCGUUUUCUGCACGUGCCCGUUCACGCAAAAGGUUUGGGAUGGAAUUGCGAGGUGGUGCAGACUUCCAGCCAUUUUUUUUUGGCUUGGGUGAUCUGGUAAAUUAUCAUGUACAUGUGCUGGGCUCAAAAGUCUGGAAACAAUUGAUAUACUCAGGUCUUUCAAACGACGAUUUGGUGUAUUUGGUCGAGCAGAAAUAACUUGUUGUUUGAGCGGGGGAAGUGCUCGCCUAAAAGGGUGCUGGAAGAAACAAAGACAUGGGGUUUUUGUGGAUAAAACAUAGAGCCAAAGCGACGACAUUGACAUGGGAAAAGUGGAGUGAUUUUGAUGUUUCUUGCUUUGGUGUGUACUGUGUAAUGUUGUUGUACUGGUGUAUGCUACUUCACGUGGUUAACACAAUUUUGUUGACCCGUUUUAUAAUAAAAAUUAGUUGGCCGUUUACCCAGACAAAUGUUAUAUAUUUACGACUAGUUAC
Molecule: long non-coding RNA, 1137 nt
Organism: Helianthus annuus (common sunflower)
Lineage: Eukaryota; Viridiplantae; Streptophyta; Magnoliopsida; Asterales; Asteraceae
Exons: 4
Source: RefSeq, a predicted model, not a curated record